AGUGAACGCUGGCGGUAGGCCUAACACAUGCAAGUCGAACGGCAGCACAGUAAGAGCUUGCUCUUACGGGUGGCGAGUGGCGGACGGGUGAGGAAUACAUCGGAAUCUACUUUUUCGUGGGGGAUAACGUAGGGAAACUUACGCUAAUACCGCAUACGACCUACGGGUGAAAGCAGGGGAUCUUCGGACCUUGCGCGAUUGAAUGAGCCGAUGUCGGAUUAGCUAGUUGGCGGGGUAAAGGCCCACCAAGGCGACGAUCCGUAGCUGGUCUGAGAGGAUGAUCAGCCACACUGGAACUGAGACACGGUCCAGACUCCUACGGGAGGCAGCAGUGGGGAAUAUUGGACAAAGGGCGCUAGCCUGAUCCAGCCAUACUGCGUGGGUGAAGAAGGCCUUCGGGUUGUAAAGCCCUUUUGUUGGGAAAGAAAAGCAGCAGGUUAAUACCCCGCUGUUCUGACGGUACCCAAAGAAUAAGCACCGGCUAACUUCGUG
This 492-nucleotide ribosomal RNA is filed under the name uncultured bacterium. RNAcentral's name for it is "partial 16S ribosomal RNA". It matches the Rfam family "Bacterial small subunit ribosomal RNA", at positions 29 to 507 of the family's 1533-position model. The record is from RNAcentral.